Frieseomelitta varia is the source of this 9309-nucleotide long non-coding RNA. RefSeq lists it as uncharacterized. The transcript has 2 exons. The record is from RefSeq and is a predicted model, not a curated record. Lineage: Eukaryota; Metazoa; Arthropoda; Insecta; Hymenoptera; Apidae.
CCGUGCGCGACAUACGGGUGCACGUACAGAAUAAUUAUUCUACGGUGUUACGUGCCCUUGCAUGUCCGCUUUCGGUCUAUACACGUAUCCUCCGUGGAUUUUCGAACGACUUUCUUUGCCGAUCUCCUUCGGAAAACGAACGAUGUUGCUCGCAAUCGACAACUAACUUUCUUUUUUUUUUUUUUUUUUUUUUUUAAUUCUUCGCGCGAUUCUAACUGGUAGGGGCUAUGGAACGAAGCGUGAUAAUUAUCGCGAAAGAAAAGAAGGAAAACGCGUCCAAACGCAAUAUUUUUUUUUUCUUUUUUUCCUCUUUGACUCGUCAUUGUGUUCGACACAGGCGUUUUCUGUUUUUCCUGUAUGAUUAUGUAAAUUCUUUGAUACUUUGGAGAGCUUCUGCGAUUACAUAAUUUGCCCCCUCCCCUCGGCUCUUUAACGCGUUAUUAGAUUCUUCAGUGACGCGUGCCGUGGGGGAGGGGGGGAAGAAGCAGUUGUACAGAUUCUUUCGAUCGAAGCUCUUGCUUUUCUCUUCCUUUAUUCAUUCUUUCGGCUAAGUGGUGGGAGAGUUGUUAAUUCUGUUUGGCAUUUCUUUUUUAUUUAAGAAGUUCUUUCGUGCACUUUCGUGUAUAUAUAUGUGUGUAUAUAUAUAUAUAUAAAUAUAUAUACACACGAUUAUCAUUUGUUAUUUCAAGAGAAAAGAUGAUUGUUUCAUCUGUCUCUUCUUCUUCCUUUUUUUCCCUUUCUUUUUCUUUCAACGAAGUUGUAUGCAAUUUGAUUUUUGAGAAACAUGCUCUCUUCGUCUUUCUUUUCUUACUUUUUCCUUCACGAAUCGCGAGUCUCUGUAAUUUUAGAUUAACGACAUCAGGAAGUAAAACAAAUCAACCACUUGUUAUCGCCUCAAUAUAUCAUUUCCGCGGUUCACGGGUCAGAUUCAGUCUGGUUCUGGAUUUAGUUGCAGAACAAGCUUUGCUCUGCAAGUUCCCACGAGGUUUUUCAGCUCGGUUCUCGGUUCAGGGUGAAAUUUUUGCACACACGUGCACUCGCAGGGAUGCUCUGUUUUUCUGUUUUAUUCGAGUUUUUAGCGUUCUCUUCCUUUCGUUUUCUUCCUUCCUCGUCGUUUGGCGUGUUCUGGCAAACUCUCUACGUGCGAUACGGUGGUGUUAAAGAGCAGGCAUAGAGUCUUAACUGUGUGACACAUAUCCGUACUAUAUACUUCUCGUUAGGGAAAGAAUUACCGGCAAAUCGAAUCUGUUUUUUUUCUUUCUUUCUUUCUUUCUUUCUUUUUUUCUUCUUUUCUUUUCUUUUCGUUUCAAAUCAAGUCAAAGGGGAGAGAAAUGAGAACGGAGGUUUUCCCGCUCAUUCGAGGUAUCAAAAUGAAAAGAAGACACGUGUAUAAAAGGAAACAAAAUGGAACCAACGUCUUCGAGCAACAACGUCAAACAAUAAAGAAAUGAACAAUGAACAAAAGUGAAAUCGCGUGUCGCGCAUCGAAAUCGCUUUGAAACCCUCAAAAGUAUUUUGUCAAGAGGAAAGUUUCGAAGCGCGACAUCGUUUUUUUUUAAACGACAUACACGCACGCGCGCGCGUACACAUACACACACAUACACACGCAUACAUGCACACACGUACGUAUAAUGUAACGUGUCGUUCUCAAAAAAAAAAGAAAAAAAGAAAAAUUGAUCUUUCAUGCAAGAGAAUGAAAAUCGAUUUUUUUCGUACGAGGCUUCACCGAUCAUUAUACAGGGACACGAAACACGAGCCACAGAAAACACUAUGUCGAUUAAUUAAUUAAGCCUUAAAUUUAGAAUUAAGUUCGGAAGGUCUGACGAAGCGAAAUGAAAGGAAAAAAAAAGAAAAAGAAAAAAAGAAACAGAGAGGCAAUGGAAGAAGAGAAAAAAAAAAGAAAGGAGAGGGGGAGAGAGAGAAAAAAGGAAGGAAGCUCUGUCGUUCUAAAGCGCCAUGGUCUACGGACUAAAUAUAUUUAAAUCAAAUACUUCAAUCAAUAUUUUUUAAACGAGAGACGCGCGCGAGAGAGCGCGUGAUUUUUUUUUUUAGUCGGCGAGAGUCGACUUGACUGUUGCUGUUUUCGUAAUCUGAAUCGUUCCUCCUUUUUUCUUUCCACUUAGAUUUCCCGCGAGAACGUAGAUGAUCCCCCCGUCCUCGGCGGUUUUUUUUUUUAAAUCGUUUCUACUCACUCUCGGAAAAAAAAUCUCAAAGGCACGCGCUUCGAUCUCAGUCCUGUGUCCCGCGAAAGAGACACAUAUUCCUUUUUCUUUCUUUUCGCUUUUAUUUCUUUGUUUCGAUACCAAAUCCACCGCGGUCGUAGCAAUCGCGCAGAAAUCGGCCAACAAAUCGGCGAGCCUCUUCGAGAUUCGAUUCGUUUCGAGUGUUCGACGCGACAUUCGAUUUCGAGGAGACGCCAGCGAAUGAAAGAGAAAAACAAACAGAAAAAAAAAAAAAGAAGAAAAGAAGUUGAUCGAAAGAUCAACAACAACAACAACUGCGUGGUUCUACGGCGCGUGUUUUUUUCUACAUUGAUCGAAAAAAGAAGAAAGACCAUUUUCUCGAAGUGCUAGACCAUCGGUCUAAGAAAGGAGGUUUCACACGAUUUUUACCUACGGUAGCAAAGAGAAGUAACCUCGUAAUCUGUCGAUCGUUUAUCUUUGUAAAUCCCCUGUAAUCGCAAUCUCCGACGAGAGCCUGUCGAUGACAAUAUUUUUUAAUCCUUCUUCGUGCUGCUGCUCGUGAAAGUCUUAGCCGUACGCCAGCGCGAUGCGCGAUCAGAUCGUAAAAUGCGUGUAAAAGCUUUUACUUCCCCCACCCCCCCUUUUUUUUCUUUCUUUUCUUUCCCCACGUACUUCGUUCCGGGGAGUUAAAAAAAAACUCGGGAAAAGAGUAUACACGCGAAAUAAAAACAAACAGAUCGUCAAUGAAUCGCGAAAGGCGAAAUAAUAAAUAAAAAAAAAAAAAAAAAGAAAAAAUAAGAGAAGCAAUGAAAUUGUUCAAAUUGUUUACUGGGUAGAACACAGCAACGCGAGAAAAGUAUCCGUGUCGUUAGCUGAUGUGCGGCUAAACCAAGUAUAAAAAAUAUAGUAGGGGGAAAACGGGAUCGGUCGCGCGAUCGCGACGAGCAAAAGAAGAUAAAAAAAAGAAAAGAAGAGAAAAGAAAAGAAAAACGCACUGACUAUUUUAGCGAAUCGAGAUUCGACCAUGUACCUUGAUAUAUACCUUGAGUGUGUUUUCCAGAAAGUAUGCGUGCGUCGGUGAUAUCAUCAGAAAGAGAGAGAGAGAGAGAGUGAGAGAGUGUGUGUAUGCGAGCGUGCCAAAAGAAAAGUGUGCGAGUUUCUUUUUGGAGGUGACAGAGCGUGUGUGCGUGCGUGUGAGAGAGAAUGAAUAUAAAUAUAUUAUAUUAAAUAUAUUGUAUACAGAGAGGGGGAGAGUUCCUCUCUCUCUCAAGAAUCGAACACGUUUUAUCGUUUCGUAACGAACAACAAAACGGCAAAUUGAAACAAACUCGCGUCCGUUGUUCAGCUUCUCGAUUUCUCGCGCGUGCAGAGCGGUUUCUGUCGCGCGCCAUUUUGCGCGCGAUCGAUCAUCGGAUGCUGCGAAGACAAAAUAAGAGAGAAAGGAAGAGCAACGCACGUGUGAUCGACGUGUAUUGUCGUUGUGCGUUGUUUCGGGAGGAAAGAGAGGGUGAAAAAAAAAAAAAAAGAAAGAAAAAGAAUCGCCUGCACGCGCGUGACAAUAAUUUUUUUUCCUACGUGUUUAGGCCACUUUAGAGUUUUCUUCUUCCUUUUCGAAAACUCGGCGCCGGGGAGCGACGUCUGCGCGAUGAACUGUCCGAGUUCAACGAUCCCUUUGAACGUGAAAAUUAAAUUAAUUAAACAUUUAGGCACCGCGUGUGCUUUCGACUUUCCAGAGUCGAUUACCAAAUUUGUCAAAAUGCUGUACCAGGUGUGCUCGUACACCGCUUUUUUAGUCGGCCAGUAGUGAAUGAUUCCUAGUGGACCUAGUUUCCGGGUGAACGGUGAAUUUUAGCAACACGUAGAAGCAAAUUAACGAAAAUGUAAAAAAACGAUCGUUUAACGCUUGAUUGAUGAUCCUUUGACUGACUUGUUCUUUAGUUCUUUUUUUCUUUGAUUUUAACGAAUUUCACAACGAGUUUUAGUUUGUUACGAGGACGCUAAAUUUUAGGUGGGUACUACGUUCUCUUUUAAGAGACGAUCGGCCAGUUAUUCGAUGAAUUCUUGAAAAGUUAGUACGUAUUUCGAAUCACGAAGAAGAGAAAUUGAAAUGGUUUUGACGAAAACGGCCUUUCACUCGUUGGCAGAUGUCUCUCCUCCGUUCGUACGCGUCCGAGUAAUACGUCCUACAAACCACGUGGCAUUUCUUCGAACAGUUUCUCCUGCCCUUUCUUUCAUUUUCUUUUUUUUUUUUCUCUUUCUUCUUUCUUUCCUACGUUUUGUAAGUUUGCAACUUUACACCGAGCAUCGCUGUACAGAGCAUUGUUCCGCGAAACUCUGGUCUGCUUUAAACCGAAUGACAACGUUAGAGGUGUUGUACAUAAAAAGAGAAGAAAAGAAGGCUAAACCGAAACGCGAGGCUUGGUACGGUGCGCCAAAUGGCACUAUCCGUUCGAGGAAGCUUAUGCUUGAGAAACGGCAGGUCUUUCGCAUUCACAAAGAAGAAAAAAAAAAAGAAGAAAUCCAACAUUUUACUACAAUCUAAUUCGUGAUCUCGACGCAACAGUAUUAAAAAAAGUAUAUUUCGACUGAGGCUUAAAAAGAAGGAAGACAUAUAUAUAUAUAUAUAUAUAGGACAUAUAUAUAUAGGAAGACAAAUGCAAAAAAAAAAAGGAAGAUUCGAUGGACUAUAUUGAUAAUCAACCCUGUCGUCUUCGAGAGUAUAAGCUUCGCGAGUCCGAUAAGGUUAUACAGAAAACAAAAAAAAGAAAAAAAAACACAGAAGGUCAGAACUUUUGUUCUAUCAUCUACACAUCCUCCACCCCAACCCCCCAACGAAAUAGUGGCGACGAGUUUAUCGUUAGACAGUAAAUUAUAUAUAGAUAUAAUUAGGAUUUUACGGAGUCACGGAUUAUUUCUGCGAUAGACGACGAUAAGGUAGAAUAAGAGAGAGAGAGAGACAUAUAGUGCGUAUGUAAAUGAGUGUAAAUUAACGACGAAGAGACAAAAACGACAUAACGGCGAGAAGAACAAUAACGAUGCUUGAUUUUCCCUUUCGUGUCUCUUUGAUAAAACUCCGUCGCAGACACGAUGCAAUUUACUGGCAAGUUUUAGGGUACAUAAGAAAAUAGAGGUUAUAUAUAUAUAUAAAUAAACAAAUAUAUAUAUAUAUAUACACAUACACACAUAUAUAUAUAUAUAUAUAUAUUAUUGUACGUAAAUUUCGCAAAAGCAGUACGUUUAAGGUUCGACUCGCGCGCAUACAUAAGAAAACACUGUAUUGUAAAGAAAAAAAACUAUCGUACUAAGGCUGCCCGUUUCGCAUGUGAUUUGUUUUGUUUUCGGAGGAGGAUCGAUCGACUACGAAGAGAAAAGUGGGUCUAGGCGUCAGACAAGGGAAGAAAAAUGGACAAGGUCCACGAAUAAUUGUAUAUAUAUAUAUACAUAUACAUAUACAUAUAUAUAUAUAUAUAUAUAUACACACACACGCAGGUGAAAUUCGAUUUGUGAAAGAGAAUAUUUUGUUAUGUAAAAGAAGAAGAAGAAGAAGAAGAAGAAGAAGAAGAAAAGUUCAUUUACAAUAUGGCUGCCGCGCACGGUAUCCUUCGAGCGCCACGUUUUGAACGACUCGAUCGAUACACGUCUUUUGGGAUCUAUUUCGCGACCUGAAACUUGUAAAGAAGAAGAAGAAGAGCGAACGAAACAAGAAGAAGAAGAAGAAGAAGAAGAAGAAGGGUGGCAACGAAAGAAGAAGAUAGAACAUCGUCGUUACGCGCAAGAACGAGAUUUUCUGUAUCAUUCCGAAGGAUGGAGGUUGUAACUUGGUCGCUCUCGUGUUUAAAAGAAAAAAGAAAAAAAAAAAACAAGAAUAUGAACAUACGUACUGUAUGUACACCGAAGAAAACUCGUAAAAAAAAAAGUACAUUCCGGUUUGCAAUAUGUUGCCGAUGUUUCUCGAAACGGCAUGCACAAUUUACCAACAAAUCAUUCGCAUCGUGAUAUGUAUAUAUAUUAUAUAUGUGUAUAUGUAUAUAUAUAUAUGUAUAUAUAUAUAUAUGUAUAUAUGUAUAUAUUGUAUCGAGGAGGAGAGAGAAUUUCGACUGGACGCAACUCCUGUCGAACUUUUAUUUCUUCGAAUGAAUAAAAAAAUAGGAAAUGGAAACGAAGAGAGGACCAAGGAGGAAGAAGAAGAAGAAGAAGAGAUGAAAAGAGUAGAGACAAGAGGAUAACGGGAGAUCAAAACGAUUGCGCGAUCGACGAGAAUAAAUAUCGAUUGGCCACCUUUCUCGACGCGCAUCCCGUUGUUUUCUUGGCGAAACAAUCGUCUCGUGUUUGCGCGUCCGACGUGCACGGAAGACUGUAUAAAAUUAGCAAAGAAGCAAAGGAGUCGUCAGAGAGGCGAGGUCGUGUCCACGAGACAAGAUAAUAACACGUUUUCGUGAAGAGAAGAUUUUUUUGAUGGUAUAAUUAAUAUAAUCGUCCAGGUUCGACAGAGGAGCAAUUAUUUUUUGCCGUUUUUUUUUUUUUUCUUUUUUUUCCCCUCACAGAAAAAUCGUCUCGAUGGUUUUCGUCGCUAGAGCAAGAUAAUUAUUGCGAACGGCGAUGAGGAAGAUGAUGAAAAUAUAAUGAUAAUCCUCCGGGGAAAUGAAAGGAAACUGGCAAGACACAGCCAGGGCGAGUACUUGGAGAACAAAAUAUAGCGAUAAUCCAAGUCGUACCUAAAGCGUAAUCAUUUAUAUAUCGUAAUUUUGGUACUGUUAUUCGAGUACGUAUACACGCGGUUUUUUUUUUUUUUUUUUGAAAGUAAGUAUAGUAAGCGUGUAAUCACAAUGGUAGAGAAGAAGGAAGAAAUACGAAGAAGAUGCGAAAGAAGCGAUUGUCGGCGAUAAUAAAACGAAAGCAGGAAGAAGAAGAAGAAGAAGAAGAAGAAAAAGAAGAAGAAGCAAAAGUGUAAAUAUGACAGUAUCGUAGAAUGGAACGACAAUUAUUAAUCGCGAGUAAUGGCGGAGAUAUAAUAAUGUCUUUCAAGUUUGAUUAUUGACGAGGAAGUAAGCGAGAAAGCGGAUUUGAACGAGACUGGAGCGAGUGUGAGAGAAUUUUUAAAAAACCACCAGAAAAAAUGUCUUUUUGAGAACAAAAGGCGCCAAAAAAAAUCGAUGUGUAAAAGCAGUGAGGAGUGUGCAUGAGAAACAGAGUGGAUGGGAAGAAUGACUGAUGAGAAAAGUAAGGGAAUAUCAAUGAAAGGAAAGUUCAGAAUAAGAGUAUAGAAGAGACUAUCGAGAGACAAGGAACGAAGUAUAUAUAAGAUUGGAAACGUUGGUGUGCAAUAGUCGCCGAGAAAGCUCAAACAUGAGUUGAGGAGAUUUCAAAGAAGAAGAAGAGGAGGAGAAGGAGAAGGAGGAGGAAAAAGAUUCUUGGAUUCUCUUCCGUCUAGAAACAAGGAUUUGGUGUGAGAAUCUUUUUUGUAGAAAGUUCAAAGCAGAAGUUUCUGAGGCGAUUCGUGGGAGUCAAAAGUUAGAAUUGACUUCCUUUGAAAAGUAUUUCAAAGUACAGCACAACUACAGGCACGUAUAUACACACACAGAAGUAUACAUGCUCAUCCAUAUACACACGUAUUAUGUAUAUAAGAAAACGACAACAGAAGCAGAAUUAAGAGAUUCAAUGUCAGAAAGAGAUGCGCGUUUACGAUGAGUCACAUGUGGCAAAUUCAAAUUGAAUGAACACUGGGCCCUCAUACUUAGUAUUACCAUCGCAUACUACCUGUAUGCCACGUACGGCAUACGUUCAUCAUGAGAGUACAGAAGUGAAUCUUUGAGAGACUGAAGUUACAUUGAGAAAAAUUCAAAAGAGAGAGAGAGAGAGAGAGAGAAAGAGAGAGAGUGAGAGAAAGAGAGAGUUGGUGGAUAGCUGGAAAUUUUCUCAGCGAGCGAGAAUCUGUAUACAAUUUUAUCAUAGAGGGAGAGUGCACACAAUUGAAGAUUUUUUGAUGUCCACCCUCGCGUGUGAAUGGAUCCGUUCUUCUGAAGAAGAAAUCAGGAAGAACGAAAUAGUGCAAAAUUCUCAACAUUUCCUGGCAAUUUCGUAGACACUAUCAUGUCUUUCUUUUUUUCCCUACCCAUUUUUUCCUUUUUUACUUUCUUUUUUCUUUCACCUUUACCAUUAUUUUCUCUUCUAACAGCAAAGACAAAAACUACUGGCCGAAAUUGUACGCAGCAGAGAAGCAUUCAGCUUCCCUUGACACUUUUCGAUGAUAAUAUUAUGAAUCCUGUUCCUCUCUUAUACCAUACUUUACACACAUAUUGCGCAUAUCCCGUCCACAUUUCCUCUUUAUUAUUCUUUUUUUCUUUAGGGCCCUUCUCAGGGCCCGCAAAUAUUUCAUUUAUGGAGUAGCAGCUCCUCGGCUGAACUAAACAUGCAAAAAAAAAAAACUUUUCAGGACAAAAAUUUAAAAUCGUCCUUUUGAGGACGAAAGGGCAAACGCCUUCUUCUUGCAGGAGAAAAAUCUAGAAAGUACAAACAAUGGAAUUUUCCAAGAUGAGAACUUUGAGACUACCUGAACUGUUAGCAAUUCUUGUUUUUCGCUUUUGCAAUGGAUUUCACUUGACUUUGUAAUGUGUUGGCGUUCAGUUCAACAUGACUGAGACAAGCGCAUUUGCAUGGAAAUUGAAGAAGAAAGUCGUGGAAGAAUUCCAGUAUAGAACGUUCAGUGAACGAAGUUUUAAGUGUGUCACGUUUCACUAGAAAAGCGAAUCAGUUUUAUGAUUUCGUUGACCUCCUUAUGAAAAAUUCUUUUAUUGGAUUAUCUCUAUAUGAUUCUAUCAAAAUGAUAGAUCCUUACAUGCAUAUAUUGAAAUACAUAUCAUACAUUUUGUUUUGCAAUGAAAGAUGCAAGUAAUGAGAUUUAUAUAAUUAUGCAACGCAAAUUAUAUAUCUUGGUCGUACUUUGAAGUUUCAUGCUUACAUGUACUUGUGACGUCGAAGAGAAUAAGUAAUGAAGACAGAAUGUGGAUUUGGAAUUGAAAAGGUUACACGUCAAUAGCUUGGCGAAGAAAUUCAAGUAUUUAUUCAAUUGCUACUGUUUUAUUAUUUUAAAAACUGACUUUUAAUGAAUAUAUUUUUAUACAAUGUA